GACGAACGCUGGCGGCGUGCUUAACACAUGCCAGUCGAACGGAAAGGCCCUGCUUUUGUGGGGUGCUCGAGUGGUGAACGGGUGAGUAACACGUGAGUAACCUGCCCUUGACUUUGGGAUAACUUCAGGAAACUGGGGCUAAUACCGGAUAGGAGCUCCUGCUGCAUGGUGGGGGUUGGAAAGUUUCGGCGGUUGGGGAUGGACUCGCGGCUUAUCAGCUUGUUGGUGGGGUAGUGGCUUACCAAGGCUUUGACGGGUAGCCGGCCUGAGAGGGUGACCGGCCACAUUGGGACUGAGAUACGGCCCAGACUCCUACGGGAGGCAGCAGUGGGGAAUAUUGCACAAUGGGCGGAAGCCUGAUGCAGCAACGCCGCGUGCGGGAUGACGGCCUUCGGGUUGUAAUCCGCUUUCGCCUGUGACGAAGCGUGAGUGACGGUAAUGGGUAAAGAAGCACCGGCUAACUACGUG
RNAcentral lists this ribosomal RNA (468 nucleotides) under uncultured bacterium. RNAcentral's name for it is "partial 16S ribosomal RNA". It matches the Rfam family "Bacterial small subunit ribosomal RNA", at positions 28 to 507 of the family's 1533-position model. The record is from RNAcentral.